Molecule: long non-coding RNA, 1847 nt
Organism: Gasterosteus aculeatus aculeatus (three-spined stickleback)
Lineage: Eukaryota; Metazoa; Chordata; Actinopteri; Perciformes; Gasterosteidae
Source: Ensembl
CGAAAACUCCACAGAAGAAGAAGAAGAAGACGACGACUGGGUUGGAUUUUAUGCAAUUUUGAUGUAAUCACGUGGGGCUAUCCGAUUAGGUAUGCAGAUAGCGUGCAGACGAACACCAACAGCAAUCGGAUUUCGAGUUUACUCACUUUGGACUCCCGAUUCGAGGGAGUGCGGAUACGGAGUGCGGAUACAGUGCGUUCGUCUUCACCAUACGGCUAUCCGGAGACUGGGUACACCGGGUUGAGACAAACUAGAGUCCGUCUGCACGGGGUCUUAAGCCUCUCUAGUCUAUUCAGAGUGCUGCCGCACGUGUAUUAACAAGAACAAAGAAAAGAGAUAAUAUUGCUCCUGUAUUAGCUUCUCUGCACUGAAUUCCUGUUAAAUCAAGAAAAUAAUUAGAAAUACUUCUCCUCACUUACUGGCUGGUCAGGCACCAUCUUAUCUUAAGGAUAUUAUAAUACCAUAUUGCCACACUAGAGAGCUUCGCUCCAUAAAUGCAGAGUCACUUCAGGUUCCUAGAGUCUUAAAAAAGUUGGAUGGGAGCCAGAACCUUCAGUUAUCAGGCUCCUCUUUUGUGGAACCAGCUUCCACUUUCAGUCUGGAGCAGACACAGUCACCAAAUUUAAGACUAGGCUUAGGCCUAGACUCCCGGGGGAUUUCUUAGGACACACCAAGCUCCUCUCUCUCUCCUACUAUAAUAAUUCACAUCUCAUUAAUGCACAUCACUAAUUCAGCUUCUUCCCCAGAAUUUUUGUAUCUCUUGCAUCAAUCAGUAACGUGUUGCGUCGUGAGACAUCUAUUAUUACAGCAUAAUGUGUUUCCCCUCUCCUUUUUGUCCUUUUGCCUUUAUAUCCUCCUCCUCUGCCCUCUAUCAGUCUGCCAACCUCUCACAUUUAGAUUUCCUUUCUCAUUACACCCCCCCGUCCCAAUUUCAGUUUCUAUCCACGGGACCAAAACAAGCAAAGACAAUUAUCACCAAUACAUUUUAAAGCAAAGGCCCAGGGAGGUGAGAAGAGGUGUCUCUGGGGUGCGCGAUGCAAAGGAACAGUGGGGUUCUCCAUGUGCAGUUCUUAAAAAAUGCUAAAAAGCUCUUAAAUUUCUCCUUUGUCUCUUACUUUCUGCCUUUUGUUUUCAGAUUCACAUCAUCAUUACCGCAGCCUUGUUCGGGUCCAACAGGGGUAAUGAGGUGUUCAGCUGGCAUGAGGUGAGGGCGGGGCAGGUUUCCUGGGAGCCUGGAGCGGAGGCUGGAUCACUCCUGCCAUCACACCUGUUAAUCAUCUACCCUCGUCUGAACACCCUUCUUAAGGAUCUGCAGGAGUUCCAGUCUAUCUCGCUUCCUGAGCGUCUAGCUCCCGUUGCCGGAACCUGCUACAUGUUUGAAUCCUUCACUGCCUUCACUGCGGACUUUAAGCCUCAGCCUACAGCCAGCACCCUCCUCUCUUGUAAGGACUACCAACGGCACCACUGGAUGCAUCAUUCCUUGCAACCCUCCUAACUGACUAUUCCUGUAUCUGGUAAUGCUCCUUUACUGAGGUUCCUCCCCCCCCGAAGAUCUACAAACACCACCUAAUAAACAUUGUUCUCACUUCCACCUCUGCCUACAAUGUCUGCAUUCUGGGCCCUCACAAUACAGGGGACGGCUAGUUGAGCUAGCCGUGAAACCUAAAUUAUUAAGGGAAAGUAACAAUCAGUGUCAUUAGUUACAGUAAUAACUUUGUUUUCAAAAGCUCUUGGAACAAACAAUGCUCUAUAAGCAGGAGUAUGUGAAUUAACUGGUGCUUGAAAACAGAGGCAUGCUGUAAAAAUGUGAUGAAACAGAACUGGGCUUGCUGUACAUAUUAAAAGAC